AGUGAACGCUGGCGGUAGGCCUAACACAUGCAAGUCGAACGGCAGCACAGUAAGAGCUUGCUCUUACGGGUGGCGAGUGGCGGACGGGUGAGGAAUACAUCGGAAUCUACUUUUUCGUGGGGGAUAACGUAGGGAAACUUACGCUAAUACCUCAUACGACCUACGGGUGAAAGCAGGGGAUCUUCGGACCUUGCGCGAUUGAAUGAGCCGAUGUCGGAUUAGCUAGUUGGCGGGGUAAAGGCCCACCAAGGCGACGAUCCGUAGCUGGUCUGAGAGGAUGAUCAGCCACACUGGAACUGAGACACGGUCCAGACUCCUACGGGAGGCAGCAGUGGGGAAUAUUGGACAAUGGGCGCAAGCCUGAUCCAGCCAUACCGCGUGGGUGAAGAAGGCCUUCGGGUUGUAAAGCCAUUUUGUUGGGAAAGAAAAGCAGCAGGUUAAUACCCCGCUGUUCUGACGGUACCCAAAGAAUAAGCACCGGCUAACUUCGUG
RNAcentral lists this ribosomal RNA (492 nucleotides) under uncultured bacterium. Its description in RNAcentral is "partial 16S ribosomal RNA". It matches the Rfam family "Bacterial small subunit ribosomal RNA", at positions 29 to 507 of the family's 1533-position model. The record is from RNAcentral.